This 128-nucleotide ribosomal RNA is filed under the name uncultured eukaryote. RNAcentral's name for it is "partial small subunit ribosomal RNA". It matches the Rfam family "Eukaryotic small subunit ribosomal RNA", at positions 1651 to 1775 of the family's 1831-position model. The record is from RNAcentral.
CCCUGCCAUUUGUACACACCGCCCGUCGCUACUACCGAUUGAAUGGCUUAGUGAGCUCUAGGGACUGUUGCCUCGAGUAGGGUUUCCUAUUCGGGGAUGACGGGAACUAGAUCAAACUUGAUCAUUUA